RNAcentral lists this long non-coding RNA (1282 nucleotides) under Chlamydomonas reinhardtii. RNAcentral's name for it is "long non-coding RNA (CREI_LNC001083)". Lineage: Eukaryota; Viridiplantae; Chlorophyta; Chlorophyceae; Chlamydomonadales; Chlamydomonadaceae. The record is from RNAcentral.
AAGGUCCGGCGUGGAGGCGGGACUAAGCGAGCGAGAGCGAGGGAGAAAGAGGUUGUUUACGCGCCGAUAUACUUGCAUGUGCUGCUGUCGGACAGCUUUUUGCAUGGCUGGUGCUUAGAUUGGCCUCUAGGUGAUCGCGGGCGUGGAUGGAGUUAUUCAUGGCCUGGGCGGAGGGUUGAAGCAUGCGUGGGUGAUGGGGGUUUGGAAGACCAUUGAGAUUGUACGCCGCACGUAUCUGGGUUGCCUGACUCACUCAUGACGGCGACCUUCGAAGCUGCGGCAAAAGCAAAGGUUAGGUAGCAUGCGACGUGCGAGACGGCUGCGUCAGUCCGACUGCGCACUACUUUGCUCCUCGACAUCAUCCUUCCAACCCGCCCUCAACGGGGCAGUUGUCUGGCCACACCAGCGCGCACCAUCUCGGCACCGCACCACACCAUACCCAAUCAGCAAUUCCACAGCACACACAGUGUCCCGCCAUGCAUGCCCACCACCGGCACCCAAGCCUCCCUCAAUCCCGUCAACCCCAAACGCCGAUCCCACGGCCCGGUCCCUCUUUCAUCACACCCCGCAGGGCGAGCUGUACAUCAUCGACGUGAGCCAGUCGGUGGACCUGGACCACCCCAAGGCGCUGGACUUCCUUCGCGAGGACUGCAAGCACGUCAACGACUACUUCCGGCGCGCGGGCGUUGCCACGCUCACGGUGCGCGAGACGUUUGACUUUGUUGUGGACCCCGCCAUCAACGACGACAACGUGGACGCCGCGCUGGAGCGGCUGAGCGACGUGGCGGCCAGGUGAGCAUGGCGGCGGCGGCGGCCAGGGCUGCGCGAGGCUGUGGACGUUGGAGUGGGGUUUGGAUGGGUGGGUGGAUAGGGUUGUAGGGGUCGAAGGGCUGCUCGGGAGGGGGAGCAGGACGUGUCAGCAGCACGGAUGCUGCUUGGCCGCAGCUGCAGCAUAGGCACUUGUGGGUGAUGGGGGCUUAGACGUGGGGCUUGUAGAAUCAGGUGAGAUUACGCCGCACGUAUCUGGGUUGCCUGACUCAAUCAUGACGGCGACCUUCGAAGCUGCGGCAAAAGCAAAGGUUAGGUAGCAUGCGACGUGCGAGACGGCUGCGUCAGUCCGACUGCGCACUACUUUGCUCCUCGACAUCUUAGUUUCCUCUGUGCCUCCCCACCGCGCACGCACUGCCAGAAGUCAUACACCUUUCUCCUCCAUCACUGAACCGCCAUCCCCGCACUCCAACUUUCGGUUUCUGACCCGCACCCCUCGCGCUACUUGCCGACU